Molecule: ribosomal RNA, 441 nt
Filed under: uncultured bacterium
Lineage: Bacteria
Description: partial 16S ribosomal RNA
Rfam family: Bacterial small subunit ribosomal RNA
Source: RNAcentral
CCUACGGGGUGCAGCAGUAGGGAAUUUUGCGCAAUGGGGGAAACCCUGACGCAGCAACGCCGCGUGAUCGAUGAAGCCCUUCGGGGUGUAAAGAUCUGUCAGUGGGGACGAAACCUGACGGUACCCACAGAGGAAGCACCGGCUAACACCGUGCCAGCAGCAGCGGUAAUAAGGGGGGGGCAAGCGUUGUACGGAAUCAUUGGGCGUAAAGAGUUCGUAGGUGGCACGGUACGUCUGGUGUUAAAGGCGGAAGCUCAACUUCCGUAGGGCACUGGAUACUGGCUAGCUUGAAUGCGGUAGAGGGAGAGGGAAUUCCGGGUGUAGCGGUGAAAUGCGUAGAUAUCAGGAGGAACACCGGUGGCGUAAGCGCUUUACUGGGCCGUAAUUGACACUGAGGAACGAAAGCCGGGGUAGCAAAUGGGAUUAGAUACCCGAGUAGUC